This 457-nucleotide ribosomal RNA is filed under the name uncultured bacterium. RNAcentral's name for it is "bacterial SSU rRNA". It matches the Rfam family "Bacterial small subunit ribosomal RNA", at positions 8 to 452 of the family's 1533-position model. The record is from RNAcentral.
AGAGUUUGAUCCUGGCUCAGGAUGAACGCUGGCGGCGUGCCUAAUACAUGCAAGUCGAGCGAAUGGAUUAAGAGCUUGCUCUUAUGAAGUUAGCGGCGGACGGGUGAGUAACACGUGGGUAACCUGCCCAUAAGACUGGGAUAACUCCGGGAAACCGGGGCUAAUACCGGAUAACAUUUUGAACCGCAUGGUUCGAAAUUGAAAGGCGGCUUCGGCUGUCACUUAUGGAUGGACCCGCGUCGCAUUAGCUAGUUGGUGAGGUAACGGCUCACCAAGGCAACGAUGCGUAGCCGACCUGAGAGGGUGAUCGGCCACACUGGGACUGAGACACGGCCCAGACUCCUACGGGAGGCAGCAGUAGGGAAUCUUCCGCAAUGGACGAAAGUCUGACGGAGCAACGCCGCGUGAGUGAUGAAGGCUUUCGGGUCGUUUAAGCUCUGUUGUUAGGGAAGAACAA